This 749-nucleotide ribosomal RNA is filed under the name uncultured bacterium. Its description in RNAcentral is "bacterial SSU rRNA". It matches the Rfam family "Bacterial small subunit ribosomal RNA", at positions 42 to 798 of the family's 1533-position model. The record is from RNAcentral.
UCGCGGCUANCACAUGCAAGUCGAGCGGUAAGGCCUUUCGGGGUACACGAGCGGCGAACGGGUGAGUAACACGUGGGUGAUCUGCCCUGCACUCUGGGAUAAGCUUGGGAAACUGGGUCUAAUACCGGAUAUGACCACAGCAUGCAUGUGUUGUGGUGGAAAGAUUUAUCGGUGCAGGAUGGGCCCGCGGCCUAUCAGCUUGUUGGUGGGGUAAUGGCCUACCAAGGCGACGACGGGUAGCCGACCUGAGAGGGUGACCGGCCACACUGGGACUGAGACACGGCCCAGACUCCUACGGGAGGCAGCAGUGGGGAAUAUUGCACAAUGGGCGGAAGCCUGAUGCAGCGACGCCGCGUGAGGGAUGAAGGCCUUCGGGUUGUAAACCUCUUUCAGCAGGGACGAAGCGUGAGUGACGGUACCUGCAGAAGAAGCACCGGCUAACUGCGUGCCAGCAGCCGCGGUAAUACGUAGGGUGCGAGCGUUGUCCGGAAUUACUGGGCGUAAAGAGUUCGUAGGCGGUUUGUCGCGUCGUUUGUGAAAACCCGGGGCUCAACUUCGGGCUUGCAGGCGAUACGGGCAGACUUGAGUGUUUCAGGGGAGACUGGAAUUCCCUGGUGUAGCGGUGAAAUGCCGACAAGAUAUCAGGAGGAANCANCCCGGUGGCGAAGGCCGGGUCUCUGGGAAAACAANCUGACGCUGAGGAACGAAAGCAUGGGUAGCAAACAGGAUUAGAUACCCUGGUAGUCCAC